CCUACGGGAGGCAGCAGUGGGGAAUCUUGCACAAUGGGCGCAAGCCUGAUGCAGCCAUGCCGCGUGUAUGAAGAAGGCCUUCGGGUUGUAAAGUACUUUCAGUCGUGAGGAAGGUGUUAAGGUUAAUAACCUUAGCAAUUGACGUUAGCGACAGAAGAAGCACCGGCCAACUCCGUGCCAGCAGCCGCGGUAAUACGGCGGGUGCGAGCGUUAAUCGGAAUUAAUGGGCGUCAAGGGCACGCAGGCGGUUUAAUAGGAUGGAAGUCGAAACCGCCGGCUUAACCCGGGAAUGGCCUUCAAGGCUAAGUAGGUUGUGUCCUGUAGGGGGGGGUAGAAAUGCGACUGUGGCGGGGUAGUGCGUUGGGAGGGGGAAGGAUCACCAUGGCGAAGGCCGGCACCUGGACAAAGAGUAACACCAGAGUCAGAAAGACUGGGAAGCAAACAGGAUUAGAUACCCGAGUAGUA
Molecule: ribosomal RNA, 465 nt
Filed under: uncultured Arsenophonus sp.
Lineage: Bacteria; Pseudomonadati; Pseudomonadota; Gammaproteobacteria; Enterobacterales; Morganellaceae
Description: bacterial SSU rRNA
Rfam family: Bacterial small subunit ribosomal RNA
Source: RNAcentral